CAGGAUUCCAUGAUCUUGUUGCCAGCCAGGUUAUUUAAAAGAGUACAGUACCAUCAAAACAGAGAUUUUUCCUAUUGUCAAAAAUAGCACGUGUCUCACAUUUCUUCCUCCACAGCUUUCUUUAUAAGGCUGGAAUAAAGCCAUGAGAGGACUUCUGAAAAUAUUCCAAACAGAAUUUCUGGUGGUCAGAGAGAAGCUGUGAUUCUCAGUGCUGGUCUGUCUUUGUUGUUCCUGUGGGAAAUGAAGAGGUCUGAGGAACUGACAGAAAGCUGAACUCAUGGGCACAACACUCCAUUGAAACCACCUGAGACAAGCAGGCUAAAGGGUCCUUCUGUGGGAUUCACAGCAUUAUCAGCAGCGGUUGUUGCGUGCAAUGGGACUGCUGGAGGAAGGAGCAGAGGAGGGAUGCGGAAGGAGUAAGGGACUGCAGAAUAAGCCAUCAAGGAAACCAGUCUUGUGAAUCAUCUCCAUCAAGCACCUUCUCUUUGAACUUUUCCCACUGCUGCCUUUGUGGCCUCAUAGUUGGAAAGCAUCUUUGCACAAAGCAGGGUGAAACUGCAGGAAUAAGGCUAAUCAAAUCAUCCAGCUCCCAAGGAAAACUGACAAACAGUUGGAGGCUGUGGUCACAGAUACAGUGAGGCUGUGUUCCCUGUUGGCAGUCAUUAGAGAAAUGGCACUGCAGGCAUUGACUUCCAGUCCUAGGCAGAUGCAGGAGUCUGAGGUGAGUGCAAAUAAGGAAGCUUAACUUCUGUUUUGGUAAUGCAGGAGUGCUAAAGAUUGACUCUCCGUGCUGGGUGUUUUAUUUUCUCCAGUGCACUAACACAGCUCUAAUUUGAAACUGCAGGAUCCCUGGUAUACUCAUCAAUAGAGUAAAAAUGUACUGAGUCUGUAUUUUUUGUGGUGCUUUAGCUAAAGCACAGUUUUCAUAUUACCAAAUUAUUCAGUGAUUUUCUUCCUCAUCAGGAAAAGAUUUUUGCUGUAUCUUAGGGGUCAGGGGCGAUCAAAGAUAUAACACUUUCCAAAGGGUAACAAAAAUAAGAGGGGUGAGGUGGCUGCAACAAGGAGGAGGAGGCAGCUGAGGGACAAAACAGAAAAAAGCAGCAGAGCGUCCUUGCCCUUCCUGUAAUACACUGAGGGGAAAGGAUCUGCUGCUAGGGGUGGUACUGCCUCCAUUGUUAUAAGAAUGGAGGCAAAGUGACCUGGACAAAACAAGUUAGCUUUUCUCUUCCAGGUGAUGGCAAUUUUUCAAGCUGUGAACACCUAAAACACAUCAACUGAAUUGAGUUUCCAGAGGAAUAUCUCACUUCACUGACCACAAAGAGUCUAUGCACGUAAACAGUACCUGAAGGUUGGUGGGAUGAAUUCCUUCCCACUUACUGCCUCG
This 1384-nucleotide long non-coding RNA is filed under the name Coturnix japonica (Japanese quail). RNAcentral describes it as "lncRNA (ENSCJPG00005003603.1)". The record is from RNAcentral. Lineage: Eukaryota; Metazoa; Chordata; Aves; Galliformes; Phasianidae.